This 566-nucleotide ribosomal RNA is filed under the name uncultured Glomeromycotina. Its description in RNAcentral is "SSU rRNA". It matches the Rfam family "Eukaryotic small subunit ribosomal RNA", at positions 548 to 1114 of the family's 1831-position model. Lineage: Eukaryota; Fungi; Glomeromycota. The record is from RNAcentral.
UUGGAGGGCAAGUCUGGUGCCAGCAGCCGCGGUAAUUCCAGCUCCAAUAGCGUAUAUUAAAGUUGUUGCAGUUAAAAAGCUCGUAGUUGAUUUUCGGGAUCAAUGUUUCGGUCAUGCCGUUGGUAUGUACUGAUAUUAUUGAUUUCUCACCUUCUAAGGAACCGUAAUGCCAUUAAUUUGGUGUCACGGGGAAUUAGGACUGUUACCUUGAAAAAAUUAGAGUGUUUAAAGCAGGCUCACGCUUGAAUACAUUAGCAUGGAAUAAUGAAAUAGGACAUCCGAUUCUAUUUUGUUGGUUUCUAGGAUCGAUGUAAUGAUUAAUAGGGAUAGUUGGGGGCAUUAGUAAUCAAUUGUCAGAGGUGAAACUCUUGGAUUUAUUGAAGACUAACUACUGCGAAAGCAUUUGCCAAGGAUGUUUUCAUUAAUCAAGAACGAAAGUUAGGGGAUCGAAGACGAUCAGAUACCGUCGUAGUCUUAACCAUAAACUAUGCCGACUAGGGAUCGGAUGAUGUUAAUUUUUUAAUGACUCAUUCGGCGCCUUACGGGAAACCAAAGUGUUUGGGUUC